CGGGGUGCACCAGGCGCGAAAACUUUACAAUGCCGGCAACGGCGAUAAGGGAACCUCGAGUGCCAGGUUACAAAUCUGGCUGUCGUGAUGCCUAAAAAGCAUUGCAUAGCAAGGGCCGGGCAAGACCGGUGCCAGCCGCCGCGGUAACACCGGCGGCUCGAGUGGUAACCGUUAUUAUUGGGUCUAAAGGGUCUGUAGCCGGCCGGAUAAGUCUCUUGGGAAAUCUGGCAGCUUAACUGUCAGGCUUUCAGGAGAUACUGUCUGGCUCGAGGCCGGGAGAGGUGAGAGGUACUUCAGGGGUAGGGGUGAAAUCUUGUAAUCCUUGAAGGACCACCAGUGGCGAAGGCGUCUCACCAGAACGGACCUGACGGCAAGGGACGAAAGCUAGGGGCACGAACCGGAUUAGAUACCCGGGUAGUCCUAGCCGUAAACGAUACUCGCUAGGUGUCGGCCACGGUGCGACCGUGGUCGGUGCCGUAGGGAAGCCGUGAAGCGAGCCACCUGGGAAGUACGGCCGCAAGGCUGAAACUUAAAGGAAUUGGCGGGGGAGCACAAGGGCGAAUGGC
RNAcentral lists this ribosomal RNA (566 nucleotides) under uncultured archaeon. RNAcentral's name for it is "bacterial SSU rRNA". It matches the Rfam family "Archaeal small subunit ribosomal RNA", at positions 326 to 892 of the family's 1478-position model. The record is from RNAcentral.